CCUACGGGGGGCUGCAGUGGGGAAUUGUUCACAAUGGGCGCAAGCCUGAUGACGCAACGCCGCGUGGGGGAUGAAGGCCUUCGGGUCGUAAACCCCUGUCGAACGGGACGAAAGACUCUGGAGCUAAUCAUCCGGAGAGUGACGGUACCGUUAAAGGAAGCCACGGCUAACUCUGUGCCAGCAGCCGCGGUAAUACAGAGGUGGCAAGCGUUGUUCGGAAUUACUGGGCGUAAAGGGCGCGUAGGCGGCCUACUAAGUCAGACGUGAAAUCCCCC
RNAcentral lists this ribosomal RNA (275 nucleotides) under uncultured bacterium. RNAcentral's name for it is "partial 16S ribosomal RNA". It matches the Rfam family "Bacterial small subunit ribosomal RNA", at positions 338 to 605 of the family's 1533-position model. The record is from RNAcentral.